AUGCGGAGGGUGCAAGCGUUACUCGGAAUCACUGGGCGUAAAGCGCGCGCAGGCGGCUUGAUAAGUUGGAUGUGAAAGCCUACGGCUCAACCGUAGAACUGCAUCCAAAACUGUCAAGCUAGAGUCUGGGAGGGGAAGAUGGAAUUAGUUGUGUAGGGGUAAAAUCCGUAGAGAUAACUAGGAAUACCAAAAGCGAAGGCGAUCUUCUGGAACGGUACUGACGCUGAGGCGCGAAAGCGUGGGGAGCAAACAGGAUUAGAAACCCUAGUAGUCC
This 274-nucleotide ribosomal RNA is filed under the name uncultured bacterium. Its description in RNAcentral is "partial 16S ribosomal RNA". It matches the Rfam family "Bacterial small subunit ribosomal RNA", at positions 523 to 796 of the family's 1533-position model. The record is from RNAcentral.